Molecule: small RNA, 65 nt
Filed under: Bacilli bacterium VT-13-104
Lineage: Bacteria; Bacillati; Bacillota; Bacilli
Description: Bacillaceae-1 RNA
Source: Rfam by way of RNAcentral
AUAGAGGAAUGUCCGAUUAAGAACGCCGCUUUGCGCGGCAACAUCGGACCACCUGGCAUGGCCAG